GUCUUUUUGAAUGGUAGAAAGAGUCCAGCCUGCCCGCUGAUAAGUUUAAGGGCCGCGGUAUUUUGACCGUGCGAAGGUAGCGUAGUCAUUAGGUUUUUAAUUGGAAUCUUGUAUGAAUGGCUAGACAAGAGAAAAUCUGUCUCUUCAUUAAAUAUUGAACUUAACUUUUGGGUGAAAAGGCUUAAAUAAAUUUAAGGGACGAUAAGACCCUAUAAAGCUUAAUAUAAAGUGUUAUUUAAUUGAAUUUAAAUAUAAAAAUUUUAUAAUGCAAUUUAUUUUAUUGGGGCGAUAAAGGUAAAAUUGUUGUUAACUGCUUUUGGCUCAGACACAUUUAUAGUUGAAAUAAAUUUAUAAAAGAUCCUAAGUAAAGAUUAAAAGUUUAAGUUACUUUAGGGAUAACAGCGUUAUUUUUUUUGAGAGUACAUAUCGAAAAAAGAGUUUGCGACCUCGAUGUUGAAUUAAAAUUUCUUUAUAGAAGCAGAAACUAUAAGAGUUGGUCUGUUCGACCUUUAAAAUUUUACGUGAUUUGAGUUCAAACCGGCGUGAG
RNAcentral lists this ribosomal RNA (547 nucleotides) under Macrophthalmus pacificus. RNAcentral describes it as "partial 16S rRNA". It matches the Rfam family "Bacterial large subunit ribosomal RNA", at positions 1819 to 2625 of the family's 2925-position model. The record is from RNAcentral. Lineage: Eukaryota; Metazoa; Arthropoda; Malacostraca; Decapoda; Macrophthalmidae.